UGCCAGCAGCCGCGGUAAUACGGAGGAUUCGAGCGUUAUCCGGAUUUAUUGGGUUUAAAGGGUCCGUAGGCGGGUCUUUAAGUCAGUGGUGAAAUCCCAGAGCUCAACUCUGGAACUGCCAUUGAAACUGAAGAUCUUGAAUUUAGUUGAGGUAGGCGGAAUACGUUAUGUAGCGGUGAAAUGCAUAGAUAUAACGUAGAACACCGAUUGCGAAGGCAGCUUACUAAACUAACAUUGACGCUGAGGGACGAAAGCGUGGGGAGCGAACAGGAUUAGAUA
Molecule: ribosomal RNA, 279 nt
Filed under: uncultured bacterium
Lineage: Bacteria
Description: partial 16S ribosomal RNA
Rfam family: Bacterial small subunit ribosomal RNA
Source: RNAcentral